GUUUCCGUAGGUGAACCUGCGGAAGGAUCAUUCAUAAUAAGUGUUUUAUGGCACUUUUUUAAAUCCAUAUCCACCUUGUGUGCAAUGUCAGGGUUGAUUUUUCUUUCGAGAGGAUCAGCCCCAAACAUCAACUAUAUCUCAACUCUUUGUCUGAAAAAUAUUAUGAAUAAAACAAUUCAAAAUACAACUUUCAACAACGGAUCUCUUGGCUCUC
This 214-nucleotide unclassified non-coding RNA is filed under the name plant metagenome. Its description in RNAcentral is "partial contains small subunit ribosomal RNA, internal transcribed spacer 1, and 5.8S ribosomal RNA". The record is from RNAcentral.